CCGAGUGUAAUUGUGAUAUCUGUACGGGUUACCUCGGCCGUGAACCGUCCAGGCCUGCCGUCCUGUUCCGCAGGUGCAGCUUUAUUUCAUUGUACGCUGAAAAGUUACGGCGAAACGGGGUCUUCUACUCUCGCGGGUAUCGUACGGGAUACGCGACGUCGGCGACGCGAGAAGGAAAAAUGCAUUCUGAGACCGAGUUAUAAAUCUCUGAAUAAUUGUUGAACAAGUGCGCUUCGGAGCAAGGUUCAGCGCGUAGAAGCUUCGCCGAGUUGGCAGUGUUUAAAUGCGGAAUGAUCAAUGGCGCCAGUAAUCGAUAUGGCUAGAAGAGUAAGGAACGACUGUUUUAGCGUUAUUAAUGAUUAUGGUAAGAAAUUACAUAUGUCAUUGUUUCCAGGAGAGAUUUGACGUGUUUUGUAAUCUGUCAAAAAUGCUACGUUGCAAACCGCGAUUCUCUGUUACUUUAAUUUAUAAAUUAUAUUUAAUAAGAACAUGGUAAAGUGGCGCCAGUACAGAUUUUCUCAGAAACUAUAUUCGUUACAUACAAGUUCCGAACGGCUUGUAACGCCACGUCUGUAGGAAUCCACGAUUUCAGCUAGCUUCGAGGUAAUUCUUAACUUCGCCGGAAGAAUCACCCGGUUUCCCGAGUCGCAAUAUCCCCGUCUGGGGGAGGAAACGGCGAGCGAAAUUAGCGGGUGGCUUAGCAAACACGAGAAGAAAUCGAACGAAACUGGUCGCGAGAGAUAAUGACGACGGUAGAAACGGGGACAGUGGACCGAGAUACGGAAAAACAUCUGUCGCGAUAAAAAUUCCAGCGGGUAGAUAACGGAGCGCACUCUUGACCACAAUAAUGGGGAAAAAUAGAAGAAAUUAAUACGCCGACGAAAGACGACGGGGAACUCGCGGGGCUUUCGUGUUCCGUCGUGCUUGUCGUUGUUCUCAGUGUAAUUCCGGUGUUUGUACGGAUUACUUCGUCCGUGAACCGUCCAGGUCCUGUUCCGAGGAUAUGGCCAUUGAGAGUCGUUUUUACCUGACCUGGGGCUUUCUAUUGGUCGCCCUACUGUGUUUCUCCGAGGGGACAUUCUUCCUGGAGGACUCGAUUGUUUUAAACAAGAUAAAAGACGUGGUCAAAGGCACGAGUGAAAAAAUCGUGAACGGCACCGUGACGGGGAUUAAUUCGAUUUUUGUGAUACCAUGGAUGACGACGACGACGACGACGACGACGACGACGACGACGACGACAACGGAGGACCCUAUCGAGACCGAGACGGAUACGGUGCUCUUUAAGAGUAUUAUAGAUGCUCCCCGCAGGUGUCGUUUCGUUAAUGGAAGGUGUCGCAAGCCGAUUGCAUGAUGCUCAAGAAGAAUUUAUCAUACCGUGUAACUUUAAUUGAUGAGAAAAGAAAAAGAAGUGGAAUCCUUGUCGAUAACAAACUCGGGAAAAAGUGGUCCAAACUAAGAGGAAAUAAAUCUAUCAAUUGCAUUCCUGUAGCAUUUUGUACUGAAAACCCAAUUUCGUUUGAUAAUUGUUCCGUGAAUUGCAGAGUACGAUUAAUAUUGAUCGGUUAUAAUUAAUACAUAUAUUCGAGAAACACGAAUUCAUAAAUAGAUAACUCUAUUAUUUAUUCAAAGCCCGUAGAGAAGUUAAUAUUAAAUUAUACGAAAUAAAACUUUAACUAUGUAAAACUAUUUUUAACGAAACACUGUACGUUUAAUUAAAAUAAUUUUCAUAUAA
Hylaeus anthracinus is the source of this 1732-nucleotide long non-coding RNA. RefSeq lists it as uncharacterized. The transcript is spliced from 2 exons. NCBI's taxonomy places the organism in Eukaryota, Metazoa, Arthropoda, Insecta, Hymenoptera, Colletidae. The record is from RefSeq and is a predicted model, not a curated record.